Molecule: ribosomal RNA, 343 nt
Filed under: uncultured anaerobic ammonium-oxidizing bacterium
Lineage: Bacteria
Description: bacterial SSU rRNA
Rfam family: Bacterial small subunit ribosomal RNA
Source: RNAcentral
GUGUGAUCUAUCCCAAAAAUAAGCACGGGCUAAGUUCGUGCCAGCAGCCGCGGUAAGACGAACCGUGCGAACGUUAUUCGGAAUCACUGGGCUUAAAGGGUGCGUAGGCGGGCUGUCAAGUCUGGGGUGAAAUCCCGCGGCUCAACCGUGGAACUGCCUCAGAUACUGAUGGCCUCGAGGGAGGUAGGGGCAUGCGGAACUGUAGGUGGAGCGGUGAAAUGCGUUGAUAUCUACAGGAACUCCGGUGGCGAAAGCGGCGUGCUGGACCUCUUCUGACGCUGAGGCACGAAAGCUAGGGGAGCAAACGGGAUUAGAUACCCCGGUAGUCCUAGCCCUAAACGAU